GUGUCAGCAGCCGCGGUAAGACGAAGGUGGCGAGCGUUGUUCGGAAUCACUGGGCAUAAAGCGCACGUAGGCGGUGGCGUAAGUCGGGUGUGAAAUCCCUCGGCCUAACCGAGGAACUGCGCCCGAUACUGCGUUGCUUGAGGACCAAAGGGGUGCAUGGAAUUUCCGGUGGAGCGGUGAAAUGCGUUGAUAUCGGAAGGAACGUCGGCGGCGAAAGCGGUGCACUGGUUGGUCUCUGACGCUGAGGUGCGAAAGCCAGGGGAGCAAACGGGAUUAGAAACCCGCGUAGUCC
This 292-nucleotide ribosomal RNA is filed under the name uncultured bacterium. Its description in RNAcentral is "partial 16S ribosomal RNA". It matches the Rfam family "Bacterial small subunit ribosomal RNA", at positions 505 to 796 of the family's 1533-position model. The record is from RNAcentral.